Molecule: non-coding RNA, 86 nt
Filed under: Pseudomonas sp. IT-P2
Lineage: Bacteria; Pseudomonadati; Pseudomonadota; Gammaproteobacteria; Pseudomonadales; Pseudomonadaceae
Also listed under: 1 other name
Source: RNAcentral
CUUGAUGGUAGCUGUACGCAGGGCGCUUUCGGGCGCGCCGGUUCGCGUCUCCCCGGUCUACUAACCUGCGUUCAGCUGCCACCCCA